AUCGUGAUAGCUUUGUUGGUAGAGCAUCUGCCCGGUAAGCAGAGUGUUACCGGUUCGAUUCCGGCUCGUGAAG
This 73-nucleotide transfer RNA is filed under the name Fasciola gigantica. It matches the Rfam family "tRNA". From Rfam's summary of the family: Transfer RNA (tRNA) molecules are approximately 80 nucleotides in length. Lineage: Eukaryota; Metazoa; Platyhelminthes; Trematoda; Plagiorchiida; Fasciolidae. The record is from Rfam by way of RNAcentral.